CGAACCGAUCGUCUCAAACAAUGUCGUUUUGAUCUAACCGAUCUAAACGAUGUCUCAUACCCAUCUUCUAGAAAAGAUCAAAAAAAAAAAAUUUCGAUUCUGAGCUUUUAACGAAAGAGGGAGGCGAGACGACAAUGGCGGAUCGGUUCUUCGAAAACAAACGUGAUUCGCUUAGUAAUCUGUGGGGAAUAUUGCUUUUGUUCAUCAACAUACAAAUACGUUGGCAAAGAAACUCUGUCUUCAGAUUCAAUUAAGGAAGAUCAAUGGCUAAAGGAUGCAAGCUCAUUCACUUAUGUUUGAAUGGUAUGGCAAAAGGUAGUGCAGCACGUGGGCGCUUGCUGGUAUUAUGCACGUUUUUAUAAAUGUUCAGCUGAAGCCAGACGAGGCAGAGGAUGCCAAGGGAACACUUCAAGUAUAUAAUCAAGAAUCGGUUUCCAAGUGGAAAUUACCUUCCUAGUGAACAAGAUAACAGGAAACAUGUUCUCGUGCAUUAGUGAACAAAACAAGAGUUCCUUCCUUGGCCGAGGAAUGUGAGCGUGAAGCUUAGAAAAAAGAGACACAGAGUCAUUCCAAUUCUGCUCACAUAAAGCAGUGGUUUCCGGCCAACAGCCACAGUUGCAGCGAGCAGUUUUGUCUCGCCUUGUAUCCCUGCUUCUCUCAGGAUCUCUGGCGUAUAGUAGACGGUGGCGUCGAUACCUGUGAUCUGCUGGAAACAUUGGAUCAAAAACCCAACGAUCAGCAUUUUCCGUACUAUAGGAGAUGGGCUUAGAAGAAGCUCACGCCACACCGGUCUCUCUUCCUCGCUGCCUUCUGUAUGUGCAGCCGCCAGUUGUAUCUCUGCGCGACGCUCUUCUGCUUCGUCAUCUCGCUAGUUUGUUUUCAUGAGCCCCUCUCGUGCACUGUCCACUCGGCCUUUCAUGACCAGCCACCUCGGCGACUCAGGGAUCACACACAGCGCAAAUCCUACGAAAACGGAAGGAAGAAUACCAACUGCAAGCAUGAUCCUCCAGCUGGGAUCAUCAAUUCACCAUUAAGACCUUGGUGCAGGCUGAGCAAUGAACGUGGGGACAUCCUCUCUCGGCAUUAUGAACCUCUAUCUGUCACUUUUUAGAUUAACAAAUGUUCAAAUGUGUUCGUUGAUACUUUCAUUUGAAACCAUGUGAUAUCUUUUGUUUCUCAUUGCAUCAUCAAUGAUACUUUUUCCAUGGA
Molecule: long non-coding RNA, 1209 nt
Organism: Camelina sativa (false flax)
Lineage: Eukaryota; Viridiplantae; Streptophyta; Magnoliopsida; Brassicales; Brassicaceae
Source: RefSeq, a predicted model, not a curated record